AUUGCAUUUAUUUGUUUUCAAUCUUUUUUAAUGUGGCUACUAGAAAAUUUUAAAUUACUGUAUGUGGCACAUUGUAUCACAUUAUAUACCUUUUGGACAGCGCUGCUCUAGAGCACUUCCACAACCACUUUUACCAGGACACAUUUGGCUAUCCUCUUACGAGACAGGCUGGUCAUGUAACAAUAGGGGCAAGGAGUAACAUGUCCUCUCAUCAACUGGGUCUGAGUAAAGUGUGUAGCAAGCUCUACCCACAAUUUCACCAUGUGAGACAACACUGUGAUAAUUCCUCAAUAUGGAAGAAAAAAAUUAGUUAUCAGCACUCAAAUUGAAAUUGAGUACUGCAGACAACUUAAAAGAGAUAGAGCCACCUGCUCUAAGGUCUUGGUUUCAUUUCCCAACUGCGGACCUUAAAAUAGACAAUAAAGCACCGCUUCCAAAAAAAGAGGUAAAAUGUUUCAACGGUAGCUAUCUAGCAAUCCUUAUUAAAUAAGCAGAAAUCGGUCUUAAAUUUUAUCUCUUCAACUUCUAAAGUCACAGAAUACACGCUGUGCUAGGAAAUCAACUUCAGAUUGCCAGCAUUUCCCUCACAAGCAAAUUAGCAGGAUUGUGCGCUUGGAAUAUUGUUUGACAAGAAUGAAAAGGAAACUAUUCAAAAUAGAUUUAAGGAAUGGACAAUUAGAUGAGGAACUGCAGAUUUAAUUCUCAAUCAGCACUGUGAUUAAUCUGAUUCCCUGCUUUUCCCUAGCGUAAUUAUACAACACAGAUGAAAGGAUGAGCAUUUGGACUGUCAGUUCUAUAUUCUAGACCAGCCCGGUGACUCAAAGCAGACGGCUCUACCACGCUAACCACCAUCCCAACAACAGUCGAAGGGAGCCUCGAGCACUGAUUGAACAGUCAUUGCAUAACGAGGCAUUAAAAAUUCGAAUGCCCCCAACUCUUUCCACAUUCGUCUACACCAGGAGGGAAUUUGCUGAAACUGAACGCACCCCGUCUUCAAUGACCCCCUCCAAUCCGGGCAUGGGGUGAACACAAAGGCAUCUGUCUAAUAUCCUGCACAAUAGACACACACCCCACAAUUAAAAAGCCUGAACGCUCUUUCUCUCUUUCUCUCUCUCCAUGCAAGCAAAGGAAAUACAAGCUGCUCUUUUCAUAAAUGGUCUAUGGUACACGAAAGGUAACAAUAACCCCAACUGUUCCCAGGAAGCAACUAAAAUCGGUUCUGCCACGUCCCUGUGCAACCGUCAGAUAAAAUGCAGCAGCCAGCCCCACGCCUUACAGGGUGGCCAACCUCUGCUCGUUGGCCUCAAUGGAUCGCAGAGAACCCCCCUAGGACCCCAGGAGAUCCAGUGCCUAUUAAGUGCCUGGCACAGUGCUCAGCAUGGGAGGCAUGCUGGGUAACACAACAGAAGAAGAUAGCUUCAUCCAGAGAUCACAGCACAUGGAUAUAGAAUAUGAAACUAACAUAUGUGCUCUCAGAGAAGACAACAUUGUGUGUAAAAUGGGAACUUAAUCUAGACUGGAGGUGUGACAGUGGGAGGUCAGGUAUUGUGAUUUUCAAAAGCAGCAAGACUGCAACAGCAAAAGGGAGACAACAGCGAUGGAAAAGCAAUAUUUGGGAAUUCACUU
This is a non-coding RNA of Microcebus murinus (gray mouse lemur), 1626 nucleotides long. NCBI's taxonomy places the organism in Eukaryota, Metazoa, Chordata, Mammalia, Primates, Cheirogaleidae. The record is from RefSeq and is a predicted model, not a curated record.